Long non-coding RNA from Zonotrichia leucophrys gambelii, 400 nucleotides. RefSeq lists it as uncharacterized. Lineage: Eukaryota; Metazoa; Chordata; Aves; Passeriformes; Passerellidae. The transcript has 3 exons. The record is from RefSeq and is a predicted model, not a curated record.
CCGUUCUCCGCCUCGCCUUUCUCCGCCUGGGUCAUGCUCCGGCCGGGCGGAAGCCGCGUCUGCCCGGCCCGAGCGGCGCCGAGCCCGGCGCGAGGCGGAAGCGGGCGGGCCCUGGCCGGGCACCGCCCCCCAGCAGCAGGUUACACAUUGCUGUGAGUACCCAGAAGCAAUCUCCAGUCUUUGCUGGAAUUGUGUCUACGCAAUAAGAAAAAAACACCACAACAUCCUGGGGUUUUUCUCCCACUUGGAAGAAGCUUAUCCUGUUCCAGUGAACUGAAAUACUGGUGUCUGUGUUUCCUGGUACAUGAACUUUUUCCUACAAGGUUUACAGCAGGAGGACAAAACACUCCAUUCUACCUUAACCCUGAAUUAACACUGCUAUUUAAAAAAACCCCAAACC